This 448-nucleotide ribosomal RNA is filed under the name Escherichia coli. RNAcentral's name for it is "bacterial SSU rRNA". It matches the Rfam family "Bacterial small subunit ribosomal RNA", at positions 1 to 445 of the family's 1533-position model. Lineage: Bacteria; Pseudomonadati; Pseudomonadota; Gammaproteobacteria; Enterobacterales; Enterobacteriaceae. The record is from RNAcentral.
AAAUUGAAGAGUUUGAUCAUGGCUCAGAUUGAACGCUGGCGGCAGGCCUAACACAUGCAAGUCGAACGGUAACAGGAAACAGCUUGCUGUUUCGCUGACGAGUGGCGGACGGGUGAGUAAUGUCUGGGAAACUGCCUGAUGGAGGGGGAUAACUACUGGAAACGGUAGCUAAUACCGCAUAACGUCGCAAGACCAAAGAGGGGGACCUUCGGGCCUCUUGCCAUCGGAUGUGCCCAGAUGGGAUUAGCUAGUAGGUGGGGUAACGGCUCACCUAGGCGACGAUCCCUAGCUGGUCUGAGAGGAUGACCAGCCACACUGGAACUGAGAUACGGUCCAGACUCCUACGGGAGGCAGCAGUGGGGAAUAUUGCACAAUGGGCGCAAGCCUGAUGCAGCCAUGCCGCGUGUAUGAAGAAGGCCUUCGGGUUGUAAAGUACUUUCAGCGGGGA